Molecule: ribosomal RNA, 1560 nt
Filed under: Triticum aestivum (bread wheat)
Lineage: Eukaryota; Viridiplantae; Streptophyta; Magnoliopsida; Poales; Poaceae
Description: partial small subunit ribosomal RNA
Source: RNAcentral
AUGGCGGUGUUGCAUGCCGCGGUCCUCUUCCUUAUCCCCACCUUGGUCGUAUCUCUCAUAUACCUCCUCUCUGGCAAGAAGCGCAUCAGCAAUGGGAAGCUGAGGUUGCCGCCGUCGCCGCCAGGCCUCCCGUUCCUCGGCCACCUCCACUUCCUCGGCUCCUUGCCGCACCGGGGCCUCGGGUCCCUGGCCGCGAAGCACGGGCCGGUUCUGCUGAUCCGGCUCGGCCGCGUGCCCACCGUGCUCGUCUCCUCCGCCGUCGCUGCGGAGGAGGUGAUGAAAUGCCGCGACCUCGCCUUCGCGAGCCGGCCCAGGGUUGUCAUGGCCGAGCGGCUCCUCUACGGGCGCGACGUCGCGUUCGCGCCCUACGGUGACUACUGGCGGCAGACACGCCGCAUCUGCGCGGUCCACCUCCUCAGCCCGCGCCGCAUCCUGUCCUUCCGCCGGGUCCGGGAGGAGGAGGCCGCCGCGCUGGUCGAGCGCGUCCGUACCAGCGCCGGCGCUGGCGCCGUCGUUGACCUGAGCGAGCUCCUCAUCGCCUACGCCAACUACGUCGUUUCCCGCGCUGCGUUCGGCGACGAUAGCGCGCGGGGGCUGUACGAAGGCGACGACAGAGGACGCGAGCUGAGGAAGGUGUUCGCCGAAUUCGACGUGCUGCUCGGGACGACGCCGUUGGGGGAGCUCCUGCCGGGGAUGGGCUGGGUGGACUCUGUGCGGGGGUUGGAAGGGAAGGCGAGGCGGACGUUCGAGGCGCUGGACGGGAUGGUCGAGAAGGUCAUUGAGGACCACCGCAGACGGCGGCGUCAAGCAGGUGGGCGGCAGAUGCGAGACGACGUCGACGGCAAUGAUCACAGGGACUUCGUGGACGUGCUGCUCGAUGUAAACGAGACGGACAAGGACGCUGGCGUUCGGCUCGGAACAGUCGAAAUCAAGGCCAUUAUCUUGGACAUGUUCGCGGGCGGCACCUCCACCACGACCACGGCGAUGGAAUGGACCAUGGCGGAGCUCAUCACCCACCCGCGCGCGAUGCGCAAGCUCCAGGACGAGAUCCGAGCGGCCGUGGGCGGCGCCGACCACGUCACCGAGGACCACGUCGACAAGGUAGGCUACCUGAAGGCCGUGGUCAAGGAGACUCUCCGGCUGCACCCGCCGGUUCCGCUCCUGGUGCCCCGGGAGCCACCCGCGGAUGCCGAGAUACUCGGCCACCACGUCCCGGCGCGGACGCAGGUCGUGAUCAACUCGUGGGCCAUCGGCCGGGACCCGGCGACGUGGGAGCGCCCCGAUGAGUUCUGGCCGGAGAGGUUCUUGGACAGCAGCGUGGACUUCAGGGGCCAGGACUUCGAGCUGCUGCCGUUCGGUGCCGGGAGGAGAGGGUGCCCGGGGAUCGGGUUCGCCAUGUCGACUCUCGAAAUGGCGAUCGCGAGCUUGCUGCAUCGCUUUGAUUGGGAUCCCGCCGGCGGGAACGUGCCAGGGACGCUGCUGGACAUGAGCGAGGUGAACGGCAUCGCUGUGCGGAUCAAGGGCGGCCUGCCGCUUGUCGCCAAAGCGUGGUUUCCAUAG